RNAcentral lists this ribosomal RNA (778 nucleotides) under uncultured bacterium. RNAcentral describes it as "bacterial SSU rRNA". It matches the Rfam family "Bacterial small subunit ribosomal RNA", at positions 8 to 796 of the family's 1533-position model. The record is from RNAcentral.
AGAGUUUGAUCCUGGCUCAGGACGAACGCUGGCGGCGUGCUUAACACAUGCAAGUCAAGGGGGCCCAGCAAUGGGCAACCGGCGAACGGGUGCGUAACACGUGAGCAACCUACCGAACUGUGGGGGAUAGCCGGCCUAACGGCCGAGUAAUACCGCAUACGCUCUCAGAGAGGCAUUUCUUUGAGAGGAAACCUACGGGACAGAUCGAGGGGCUCGCGGCCUAUCAGCUAGUUGGCGAGGUAACGGCUCACCAAGGCGACGACGGGUAGCUGGUCUGAGAGGAUGGCCAGCCACAUUGGGACUGAGAUACGGCCCAGACUCCUACGGGAGGCAGCAGUGGGGAAUCUUGCGCAAUGGCCUAACGGCUGACGCAGCGACGCCGCGUGUGGGAUGAAGCUCCUCGGAGUGUAAACCACUGUUGCCCGGGACGAAUAGCUCGAUUAAUCGAGCCUGACGGUACCGGGUGAGGAAGCACCGGCUAACUCCGUGCCAGCAGCCGCGGUAAUACGGGGGGUGCGAGCGUUGUCCGGAAUCACUGGGCGUAAAGGGCGCGUAGGUGGUUUGAUAAGGGUGUGGUGAAAGUCCGGGGCUCAACCCCGGAUCUGCCGUGCCGACUGUCAAACUCGAGGACUGUAGAGGCAGGCGGAAUUCCGGGUGUAGCGGUGGAAUGCGUAGAGAUCCGGAGGAAGACCGGUGGCGAAGGCGGCCUGCUGGGCAGUUUCUGACACUGAUGCGCGACAGCGUGGGGAGCAAACAGGAUUAGAUACCCUAGUAGUCC